Molecule: non-coding RNA, 1503 nt
Organism: Pelodiscus sinensis (Chinese soft-shelled turtle)
Lineage: Eukaryota; Metazoa; Chordata; Testudines; Trionychidae
Source: RefSeq, a predicted model, not a curated record
UGUCUGUACUCACAACGUCCUCAGACCUUCCACUGCCCCAACCCAGCUAGAAAUACAUUUAGCUCCAAACUUUACAAACGCCUCUGGAAGAGAUUGGCUGAAUGGGACAAUAGUUAUGAACAAGAGCUUUGCUCUUCUUCUGUGGACAGACUGAAGCAUUGACUGCAAGGGUCAUAUUACUCAGGCUACAGUUAUCAAAGGGAAUUCCCUUCGCAAGUACUCCUGUCUUUUCUGAUCCAAGCACCUUUAGUUUUGGACUGAGAUCUUGCCUGUCUCCGUGUAUUUGUUGCUUCAAUAAAAACCUCUCUCACCAUAUCCUUCUCUCCCUUGUCCACCCAGUCUCUCCAUGUGGCUCGCUGUUUUCUCUGGGCUUCGGAGCUGUUUGAAAGCGCCCAGACUCCCUCCAGUGGUAGAUUAUCAUGCCGCAUUUCAUUUUCGUAUUUCUUAAACAGACUAGGAGAAAACUGAGACCUAUAAAAGUCCACACACUGGACUAGUCUAUGGGUCUUCUCUAGUCAGAACGACCAAAUACAAAGAACAGUUCAAUCCUGCACACCCAAUACUUUGCAAGAUAUACAGGAGCAGAAGACCCUUUGUACACUUCCUGCAAUAGAGAGGUACAGAACACCAGUAAAAGAUGCAUUUACCUAAGUGAGACAGCAUGUGGGUAAUGUAUACAUGGAUUUUUUUUUGUUGUGUAAUUUUGUGGAAAAGUGGAGAAUCAAAUGAUCACAGAUAAACUGGACUUAAAUAUUUAAUUACAUUUUCUACUAGUUAGAACAGAGGAUGAACCAAAUUGUUUCAAUUCUAUUCACAAUUCUUUCAAUGACCCUGUUUGGCCAUGGCCCUGUACUUAACCUCUCUCAUCCUCUGUAUUCCCAUGUAUAAAAAGAUACAUAUAUAUACAUACACACACACACCAACUUCAGCAGAAUGUGCUGACACUUAAUUCAUUAAUGUUCAUAGAUUUUCAGAUUCUGUUGAGAUCUUCAGUUUCAAGAAGCUGUGUAAAUGCAAACUGAUAAUGAUAUUUUUGCAAACUUUCAUCUGUGUUUUCACCAGGUACUGUUCUCAACAGCUGUUGGACACCACCAAAACCCUGCCUAUUCUUUUACCAAAUUGUUCUUGGAAUUUCUUUAUGCCUUUAAUGAAAGUUAUCAAUAAUCAUUAGCACUCUUUUUAUUUCAACUUCUUAGUACAAAAUCUAUGCAUAUGUCUGAGUUUAACUCACCAACUGGAAAAAAAGAAUGGAACUGUUGAUAGACAUCAUCUGCACAUCUGACUGCUAUUCUGAAAACUUUAAAUUUAAAAUAUAUUAAGAAAGACCUUUGAGAAGAAGAAAGCAGAGGAUUUCCUUGAGCUUUAAACUGACACGUAAGCAUUCUUUUCAAAAAAACUUGAGAUAUAAAGAAUUACAGGGGAGAAGAGUUUCAAAGCCAUAAAUGAGAGUUGAGCACCUGAUUGCUCUUUGGAAAAUCUUUCCAUACAUGUGAAAUUACAUCA